This 459-nucleotide ribosomal RNA is filed under the name Triticum aestivum (bread wheat). Its description in RNAcentral is "partial small subunit ribosomal RNA". The record is from RNAcentral. Lineage: Eukaryota; Viridiplantae; Streptophyta; Magnoliopsida; Poales; Poaceae.
AUGGCUAGUGCGGAGGAUGUGAAGCAGCGGCAGGUUGUUGAAGACCGUGCAAGAAAUAUUAGCCACAAUGUCCGGUGCACUGAGUGUGGCAGCCAGUCCAUUGAAGAUUCGCAAGCAGAUGUUGCAGUUCUCCUUAGAAGGUUAAUUCGUGAUGAAAUAAAAUCUGGAAAGAGUGAUAAGGAGAUAUACAAAAAACUAGAAGAAGACUUUGGAGAAACAGUUCUAUAUGCCCCUAAAUUUGAUCUUCAAACUGCUGCCAUAUGGUUAUCACCGGUCAUUGUGGGCGGCGUAGCAGCUGGUGUGUGGGCUUACCAAAAGCACAGGCAAAGGACCAACGUUCACAUCAUGGCUCUGAACCUCGUCCGAGGGGUUCCCCUGACUCCAAGGGAGAAGGAGACGAUGAUCGACAUCCUCACGCCGCCUCCGCCGGCAAGAAGCUGGUGGUGGCCUCUCAAAUGA